This 314-nucleotide unclassified non-coding RNA is filed under the name plant metagenome. RNAcentral's name for it is "partial contains 5.8S ribosomal RNA, internal transcribed spacer 2, and large subunit ribosomal RNA". The stretch from base 1 to 105 matches the Rfam family "5.8S ribosomal RNA", at positions 50 to 154 of the family's 154-position model. The record is from RNAcentral.
GAAAUGCGAUAAUUAAUGUGAAUUGCAGAAUUCAGUGAAUCAUCGGGUCUUUGAACGCACAUUGCGCCCCCUGGUAUUCCGGGGGGCAUGCCUGUCCGAGCGUCAUUGCUGCCCUCAAGCACGGCUUGUGUGUUGGGCUUCCGUCCCUGGCAACGGGGACGGGCCCAAAAGGCAGUGGCGGCACCAUGUCUGGUCCUCGAGCGUAUGGGGCUUUGUCACCCGCUCCCGUAGGUCCAGCUGGCAGCUAGCCUCGCAACCAAUCUUUUUAACCAGGUUGACCUCGGAUCAGGUAGGGAUACCCGCUGAACUUAAGC